RNAcentral lists this ribosomal RNA (430 nucleotides) under uncultured Sebacina. RNAcentral's name for it is "eukaryotic LSU rRNA". The stretch from base 58 to 211 matches the Rfam family "5.8S ribosomal RNA". Lineage: Eukaryota; Fungi; Basidiomycota; Agaricomycetes; Sebacinales; Sebacinaceae. The record is from RNAcentral.
UUUUUACACCAACUCGAAUGUAAUGAAAUUAUGAUUGUGCGGCAAGCACGAAUGUACAACUUUCAACAACGGAUCUCUUGGCUCUCGCAUCGAUGAAGAACGCAGCGAAAUGCGAUAAGUAAUGUGAAUUGCAGAAUUCAGUGAAUCAUCGAAUCUUUGAACGCACCUUGCACCCUUUGGCAUUCCGAAGGGUAUGCUCGUUUGAGUGUCAUUGUACUCUCACACUCCUCCUCCUUUUGGUGGAUUUGGAGCGGUGGUCUUGGGUGUUGCUGCUUUGCAGUGGCUCACCUCAAAUGCAGUAGUGCAACUCUUGGUUGGACAUAGUACGGCGUGAUAAGUGUCUUCGCCGGCGACCUCGCAAGAGGGUGGCUGAUCAGGAGCUCUGUGCUUUCCAACUGUCCUCGGACAAUGACUGACAACUGGACCUCAA